GCCUUCGUGGUGUAGUGAUCAGCACUUUUGGCACGCAUUCCAGAGGUCCGUGGUUCGAGUCCCGGCGAAGGCG
RNAcentral lists this transfer RNA (73 nucleotides) under Stegodyphus mimosarum. It matches the Rfam family "tRNA". Rfam says of the family: Transfer RNA (tRNA) molecules are approximately 80 nucleotides in length. Their secondary structure includes four short double-helical elements and three loops (D, anti-codon, and T loops). Lineage: Eukaryota; Metazoa; Arthropoda; Arachnida; Araneae; Eresidae. The record is from Rfam by way of RNAcentral.